RNAcentral lists this ribosomal RNA (491 nucleotides) under uncultured bacterium. RNAcentral's name for it is "partial 16S ribosomal RNA". It matches the Rfam family "Bacterial small subunit ribosomal RNA", at positions 29 to 506 of the family's 1533-position model. The record is from RNAcentral.
AGUGAACGCUGGCGGUAGGCCUAACACAUGCAAGUCGAACGGCAGCACAGUAAGAGCUUGCUCUUACGGGUGGCGAGUGGCGGACGGGUGAGGAAUACAUCGGAAUCUACUUUUUCGUGGGGGAUAACGUAGGGAAACUUACGCUAAUACCGCAUACGACCUACGGGUGAAAGCAGGGGAUCUUCGGACCUUGCGCGAUUGAAUGAGCCGAUGUCGGAUUAGCUAGUUGGCGGGGUAAAGGCCCACCAAGGCGACGAUCCGUAGCUGGUCUGAGAGGAUGAUCAGCCACACUGGAACUGAGACACGGUCCAGACUCCUACGGGAGGCAGCAGUGGGGAAUAUUGGACAAUGGGCGCAAGCCUGAUCCAGCCAUACCGCGUGGGUGAAGAAGGCCUGCGGGUUGUAAAGCCCUUUUGUUGGGAAAGAAAAGCAGCAGGUUAAUACCCCGCUGUUCGGACGGUACCCAAAGAAGAAGCACCGGCUAACUGCGU